ACACCAAAGCUCGACUUCACUGUCAUGAUCGUGUGCAGGAUUGGACAAAACAAGAUGGCAGACGGCAUUUCCAAACAAAGGUAUCAAACCCUAGAACGUCAUUCCAUGAGAUGGGUACACUUCGAAUGUGCGAAAUUUGUGGUGAGGAAUUCAAGACCAAUUCUGAAUUGAGUAGGCAUGUAAAAAGGAAACAUCAAUUAGAGAAAUUGUCUUCGUUCGUGACCAGUGCAACACACGCUUUUGUACAUUAUAAAAGAAACAUGAAGUAAAAAUUUUUACAUUGUUUCCUGAAUACACGAGGUGCAUACAUAUACCAUGGCAGCCGUUUUAUAUAUCCGUUUAUGUACAUUUUGAAACGAUUAUUUUUACGGUAUUAUGCUUUGUUUUAAAGAGAUACUACUAAUCUUUUACAUUGCAUUUUACACAUGUUGAUUUGUCAUUUCAUUGAACCAGAAGUGUUCUUAAGUUUUACGUGUUAUUAAAUAUAUUUCAAUGU
Ostrea edulis (European flat oyster) is the source of this 496-nucleotide long non-coding RNA. RefSeq lists it as uncharacterized. The transcript has 2 exons. The record is from RefSeq and is a predicted model, not a curated record. Lineage: Eukaryota; Metazoa; Mollusca; Bivalvia; Ostreida; Ostreidae.